AUUGAACGCUGGCGGCAUGCCUUACACAUGCAAGUCGAACGGUAACAGGUUAAGCUGACGAGUGGCGAACGGGCGAGUAAUGUAUCGGAACGUGCCCAGUCGUGGGGGAUAACUGCUCGAAAGAGCAGCUAAUACCGCAUACGACCUGAGGGUGAAAGCGGGGGAUCGCAAGACCUCGCGCGAUUGGAGCUGCCGAUAUCAGAUUAGGUAGUUGGUGAGGUAAAGGCUCACCAAGCCGACGAUCUGUAGCUGGUCUGAGAGGACGACCAGCCACACUGGGACUGAGACACGGCCCAGACUCCUACGGGAGGCAGCAGUGGGGAAUUUUGGACAAUGGGCGCAAGCCUGAUCCAGCCAUGCCGCGUGCGUGAAGAAGGCCUUCGGGUUGUAAACCGCUUUUGUCAGGGAAGAAAAGGUUCUGGCUAAUACCUGGGACUCAUGACGGUACCUGAAGAAUAAGCACCGGCUAACUACGUG
This 477-nucleotide ribosomal RNA is filed under the name uncultured bacterium. RNAcentral describes it as "partial 16S ribosomal RNA". It matches the Rfam family "Bacterial small subunit ribosomal RNA", at positions 30 to 507 of the family's 1533-position model. The record is from RNAcentral.